RNAcentral lists this ribosomal RNA (363 nucleotides) under uncultured bacterium. RNAcentral describes it as "bacterial SSU rRNA". It matches the Rfam family "Bacterial small subunit ribosomal RNA", at positions 29 to 376 of the family's 1533-position model. The record is from RNAcentral.
AGCGAACGUUAGCGGCGGGCCUAACACAUGCAAGUCGAACGCGAAAGGUCUUCGGACUGAGUAGAGUGGCGCACGGGUGAGUAACACGUAGGUAAUCUACCCUUUGGCGGGGAUAACGUUCCGAAAGGAGCGCUAAUACCGCAUAAGACCACGGAGUCUCCGGACGCUGUGGGAAAAAGGUGGCCUCUUCUUGAAAGCUACCACCGAAGGAUGAGCCUGCGUCCCAUCAGCUAGUGGUAAGGUAAUGGCUUACCAAGGCGAAGACGGGUAGCUGGUUUGAGAGAAUGAUCAGCCACACUGGCAACUGGAACACGGGCCAGACUCCUACGGGAGGCAGCAGUGAGGAAUAUUGGGGCAAUGGGC